GCCUGGACAGCUCAGUUGGUUAGAGCAUGGUGCUGAUAAAUGCCAAGGUUGGAGGUUCAAACCCCAUAUGGGACA
This is a non-coding RNA of Podarcis lilfordi (Lilford's wall lizard), 75 nucleotides long. NCBI's taxonomy places the organism in Eukaryota, Metazoa, Chordata, Lepidosauria, Squamata, Lacertidae. The record is from the annotation of a GenBank genome assembly.